UUAGAUAUUGUGAUAAUUAAAUAAAAAAAUAGAUAUUGUGAUAAUAUAGAUCCGACUUUCUGUCCCGUAAUAAUAGACUCAGAAGACUAACAAGUUGAGUUGGGUGGGCCUAAUAAGUUAAGUGGGGUUGCGGUCCGCAAGAGACCUAAUGACAAGUGGUCCAGCAAUAGGCCUAACGUCCAGAUAGAUUGAGUUACGUUGAAAUCUGCGAGUGUUAUGAUUGAAUCCUUAAGUGUGAUGAGUGCGCUCUUUCUAUCUGUACGUAUUUUUGAAAUAAUUGGUUAGUACUUAUGAUCCACAAUUACCAUAAGAAUAUAUAAAUGAAUGAGUACUGUAUUUGUAUGACAUGUACAAGAUACAUUGAGGUUUACUUU
Molecule: long non-coding RNA, 374 nt
Filed under: Ananas comosus (pineapple)
Lineage: Eukaryota; Viridiplantae; Streptophyta; Magnoliopsida; Poales; Bromeliaceae
Description: long non-coding RNA (ACOM_LNC012569)
Source: RNAcentral